CCUACGGGAGGCAGCAGUGGGGGAUAUUGCACAAUGGGGGAAACCCUGAUGCAGCGACGCCGCGUGUGGGAAGACGGUCCUCUGGAUUGUAAACCACUGUCCCCAGGGACGAAAAUGACGGUACCUGGGGAGGAAGCUCCGGCUAACUACGUGCCAGCAGCCGCGGUAAUACGUAGGGAGCGAGCGUUGUCCGGAAUUACUGGGUGUAAAGGGCGCGUAGGCGGGGAUGCAAGUUGGGUGUCAAAACUACCGGCUCAACUGGUAGUCGCACUCAAAACUGCAGCUCUUGAGUGAAGUAGAGGCAGGCGGAAUUCCGAGGGUAGCGGUGAAACGCGGAGAUAGUAGGAGGAACACCAGUGGCGAAGGCGGCCUGCAGGGCUUUUACUGACGCUGAGGCUCGAAAGUGUGGGGAGCAAACAGGAUUAGAUACCCCAGUAGUC
This 440-nucleotide ribosomal RNA is filed under the name uncultured bacterium. RNAcentral describes it as "partial 16S ribosomal RNA". It matches the Rfam family "Bacterial small subunit ribosomal RNA", at positions 338 to 795 of the family's 1533-position model. The record is from RNAcentral.